AAAAUUUACCCUAUACUAUUUGUAUGUCACGUCAUUUCAAUUGACCCUUUAUGUACUCCACUCUUUCGGUUCAUUUAUUUCGGUUUGUUUUCGAUCUAUUAAAAGGUGCAUUUACUGUGGUUCACCGUAGAUAGGCUCAUAGGAAGGAUAAAGUCUUACCUAUGAUUAAGAAUACCAACAGGAGCACGAACCCU
Molecule: long non-coding RNA, 194 nt
Organism: Rhododendron vialii
Lineage: Eukaryota; Viridiplantae; Streptophyta; Magnoliopsida; Ericales; Ericaceae
Exons: 2
Source: RefSeq, a predicted model, not a curated record